CCUGAAGUUGUGUUGCGUAUUAAUCCCGAUGUCCCUCGCUCAGAAGAACGACAGUUGCCAUGCUGCCGCGAUAAGUGGAGGUUCCCCCGAGAUCUCAGAAAGAAGGGGUAGCGGACGGGGUUGUCCUAGACCGGAGUUGAUAAACCAAUUUGGGUGCCAGAGCAGUGCGUAAGGCCAGUGACCCAGGAUGAAGACCACAAUGCUCCUUCUGCUUCAGGAUCUGCAAACUGAGUAAUUGCUGGGAUGGUUCUGAUGGAGCUUUGAUCGUUCUAGUGCCUGCUGUGAUUCCUCUGCUGGUGCUGCUGUCUCAAGAACAUCAGGAGAUCAUCCAUUGUCGACAGCAGGCGAACAGCUGCAAUUGUUGCUGCUAUUGCUGUCACUGCCACUGUGGCUACAGUUGCUGGAGUUGCCAUUUCACAGACAACUGUGACUAUAGAGACUGUGAAUCAGCUGUCUGGAAGGGUUAGCAAGUCCCUGCAGACACAGAGUGCUCUGGAUUUUCAUAUUGGACUUGGACUUUUAAAUUUAAAUCAAAAAACAGUGCUUUUGCAAGAACAGGUAGAUUCCCUUUGACUCCUGUAACAAGUGUCUUGUACGUUACACCUGCUAAUGUUAUAAAUGCUUCUCAUGUGGUUGUACAGUUGAAUGCAUGUUUGGAUGGCCCUUGGAAUUCCUUUUUGAAUUUCACCCUGCAAACAGCUUAUCAUAUUGUAAGUAUUGACAGCACAUGGGUCCCUGCUGUGUCUAGAUCCAGUCAGUAGAAUGCCAUGGCCCAGCUUGGGGGCUGGGUCCAGUGAUUGUCUGGAAUGCUCACUUGUACUCAUAUUGCUAUUGGGGUUAUCUGUUUUUGGAUUCUCUGUCACUUUAUGUGGCAAUCCCAUGUACAGCACACUGUCACCCGACAAGUGUUGCUUGGACUGUCUUCCGGAAAUUGGGAAGUGCCCCAAGUCUGGUUGCAGAUAUUGCAGAAGUCAUGAGGGAUCCCAAUGACGGGCAACUCUCCUGGUAUAGUGAGCUUGCCUAAGACAGGAAUUAAGGCCUCCUGUAGACGGGUAAGAGUCUCUGUCUGGGGGAGUCCUAAGACAGGGCCUCCACUGAUGAGAGCUAUAUAUACUGUAUGAGAAAGUGGAAUAAAGGCUUGUCUGCAGAACCUGAA
Molecule: non-coding RNA, 1156 nt
Organism: Myodes glareolus (Bank vole)
Lineage: Eukaryota; Metazoa; Chordata; Mammalia; Rodentia; Cricetidae
Source: RefSeq, a predicted model, not a curated record